Molecule: ribosomal RNA, 786 nt
Filed under: uncultured bacterium
Lineage: Bacteria
Description: bacterial SSU rRNA
Rfam family: Bacterial small subunit ribosomal RNA
Source: RNAcentral
ACGGCAGCACGGACUUCGGUCUGGUGGCGAGUGGCGAACGGGUGAGUAAUGUAUCGGAACGUGCCUAGUAGCGGGGGAUAACUACGCGAAAGCGUAGCUAAUACCGCAUACGCCCUACGGGGGAAAGCAGGGGAUCGCAAGACCUUGCACUAUUAGAGCGGCCGAUAUCGGAUUAGCUAGUUGGUGGGGUAACGGCUCACCAAGGCGACGAUCCGUAGCUGGUUUGAGAGGACGACCAGCCACACUGGGACCGAGACACGGCCCAGACUCCUACGGGAGGCAGCAGUGGGGAAUUUUGGACAAUGGGGGAAACCCUGAUCCAGCCAUCCCGCGUGUGCGAUGAAGGCCUUCGGGUUGUAAAGCACUUUUGGCAGGAAAGAAACGUCAUGGGUUAAUACCCCGUGAAACUGACGGUACCUGCAGAAUAAGCACCGGCUAACUACGUGCCAGCAGCCGCGGUAAUACGUAGGGUGCAAGCGUUAAUCGGAAUUACUGGGCGUAAAGCGUGCGCAGGCGGUUCGGAAAGAAAGAUGUGAAAUCCCAGAGCUUAACUUUGGAACUGCAUUUUUAACUACCGAGCUAGAGUGUGUCAGAGGGAGGUGGAAUUCCGCGUGUAGCAGUGAAAUGCGUAGAUAUGCGGAGGAACACCGAUGGCGAACGCAGCCUCCUGGGAUAACACUGACGCUCAUGCACGAAAGCGUGGGGAGCAAACAGGAUUAGAUACCCUGGUAGUCCACGCCCUAACGAUGUCACUAGCUGUGGGGCCUUCGGCUGGUAGCGCAGCUA